UGUUUGUCUUCUAACUCAACAAACCUAGCUUCUAGGUUUUCAAGAGCCUCGCUAGUUUCUUCUACCUGAGAGACCAGAGUACUCUUUUCGGAUAUAAGAUUGGAAUUCUGAGUAGAGAGUGACUGACAGGAUUCUUCAGAGACUUUCAACUUUCCUCUUAAAUCCUCAAGUUCAACAUUCGCAUCAGACAGCGAGUUCUUCAAGAAUGCAUUUCUCUCCAAAAGCUUCUCCAUCUCCUGAGAAGUAGUUUUUACUUGGGAGACCAUUGUAGCCUUGUCAGUUAGAUGGACAGAUAUUUCAUCACAAAGCAAUUCACAGGACUGUUCUAAUCCCUUAACCUUCUCUCUUAAAGUCUCGAUCUCAACAUUGGCAUCCGAUAAAGAAUUUUCUAAAACCACAUUCUUUUCUGAUACAAUCACCAUAUCUUUAAGGUUUUCCAAAUGAGCCUUUUUUUCAUUCUCAUGCCUAUUGCAUCUCUCCUUUAGUUCGGCAUUGCCACUUUGCAACUGCUUCACCAACGCCUGAAGAGACAUCACAUUAAAGUUGGCUGCUUCUACUUGCUCGGUUAACUGAUGGUAACUCUGUUUUAACUCGUUUCUGUCGUCUUUUAGACUGGAGAAUUCUUCCCGAAGGGCUUUCUUUUCGUCUCUAAGGAGGCUCGCUUCAUUUUCAAGUUUCAUGUUCGAAGCGUUGAAGGAUGAUAUUUCAUCUUGCAGAAUAAUGAUUGUCGAAGCAGAAGUGAGACAUUGUUCAUUUAGGCUACCAUGUUCCUCCUUGAUUUUCCGUAGCUCUUCUUCUAAAGCCACUCUUCUCAGGUUGCUGUCUUUUAACUUCUCAAUCCCAGCUUGAAUCUCAAGACCUAA
Molecule: unclassified non-coding RNA, 863 nt
Filed under: Hevea brasiliensis (rubber tree)
Lineage: Eukaryota; Viridiplantae; Streptophyta; Magnoliopsida; Malpighiales; Euphorbiaceae
Source: RNAcentral